UCCGUAGGUGAACCUGCGGAAGGAUCAUUACAGAGUUCAUGCCCGAAAGGGUAGACCUCCCACCCGUGUGUAUCUAUACAUUGUUGCUUUGGCGGGCCGCCGUGAGGCUACCGGCCCUUGGGCUGGUACGUGCCCGCCAGAGGACCCUAAAACUCGGAAUGUUAGUGUCGUCUAAGUACUAUAUAAUAGUUAAAACUUUCAACAACGGAUCUCUUGGUUCUGGCAUCGAUGAAGAACGCAGCGAAAUGCGAUAAGUAAUGUGAAUUGCAGAAUUCAGUGAAUCAUCGAAUCUUUGAACGCACAUUGCGCCCCUUGGUAUUCCGGGGGGCAUGCCUGUUCGAGCGUCAUUUCAACCCUCAAGCUCUGCUUGGUAUUGGGCCCUGCCGGCAGCGGCAGGCCUUAAAAACAGUGGCGGUGCCCCCAGGCCCUGAGCGUAGUACAUCUCUCGCUCCAGGCUCCUGGGGGUCGCUAGCCAUCAACCCCAAUUCUUUCUAUGGUUGACCUCGGAUCAGGUAGGGAUACCCGCUGAACUUAAGCAUAUCAAUAAGCGGAGGA
RNAcentral lists this ribosomal RNA (555 nucleotides) under Leotiomycetes sp. genotype 657 JMUR-2016. RNAcentral's name for it is "eukaryotic LSU rRNA". The stretch from base 194 to 347 matches the Rfam family "5.8S ribosomal RNA". The record is from RNAcentral. Lineage: Eukaryota; Fungi; Ascomycota; Leotiomycetes.